RNAcentral lists this long non-coding RNA (949 nucleotides) under Lathyrus oleraceus (garden pea). RNAcentral's name for it is "Pisum sativum (pea) long non-coding RNA (PSAT_LNC035092)". Lineage: Eukaryota; Viridiplantae; Streptophyta; Magnoliopsida; Fabales; Fabaceae. The record is from RNAcentral.
GAAGAGGGACCACUUACCUUCGCCUAUAAAAAGAGGCGUUCAAUCAUUGAAAAAAGGGAGAAAUUUGGCACCGUCACUCUGCAGAAAUAUAUCCAGAAACCUUCAUUAAAACUAAAAAAACGAGCUUGUUCAAGGUUCUCAAUCGAAAUCUUGAAGAAACUUGAGCUCAGGAUACGAUCUCAUUGCCCACUCAAGAAACUAAAGGAUACAAAGAGUAACAGUAGGAGGAAAAAUAAGAUAACUCACCUCACCACAGAGUCGCUCACGGGGAUAGGACCUUUGCCGGAAUCCAGAAGAUCCGCUGAACUCGGAGCUAUUUUUUUUUCAGAACUUCAGUUUGGGUAAGCGAUUCAGUCUUAUCUCCUUCUAUGAGCUCCCUUUUUGUAGAUCUGGAUUCAUUACUCCUCAUUGUUGUGUUGAACCGAAUCCAUGUUGUUUUAUAGCUCCUAUAUUCUAUGACCUUUUAUUUAAGUUUAUGGUGCGUGUGUUUCUCUUUUGAUUGAGCUUGGUUUUCGAAUUUAUUUCCUUCUCAUUUUUUGUAUGCCUCUUUCUCACGAGGAAGAAGAAGAGAUAAAAAAUAUGAUAUAACAAAGAAAGGAAGUAGUUUAUUUCAUUGGGAGAGGGAGAGGCGAAGGCGAACAUAAGUGCCUUUAUCACGUUCUAGAUCCUUGCUUCAUUCCUUGUUAAGAGUAAGUUCGUUGGCCAUUAAUGAUAAUACUUUUUCUCACUGCCCAAGGCCAGUCACCGCUUUGGUUUUCCCCCUAGUUAUUACUUACCGUUGGAGUUUGGGAGCCAUUGUCUCCUUCACAUUUACUGGUAAAAUGAGAAGGGUUUUAUUGGACUCGGUUCGGGUUCGGAUUACCCGAGGUAGGCGGAGCCCUUUUGGGCCUUCUGGGCUUCGGUUCUCUUUUUCUUUUCUUUGCAGUUUGUGCGCCCUAGUGGGCUACAG